RNAcentral lists this ribosomal RNA (253 nucleotides) under uncultured bacterium. Its description in RNAcentral is "partial 16S ribosomal RNA". It matches the Rfam family "Bacterial small subunit ribosomal RNA", at positions 524 to 776 of the family's 1533-position model. The record is from RNAcentral.
UACGGGGGGGGCAAGCGUUGUUCGGAAUUACUGGGCGUAAAGGGCUCGUAGGUGGCCAACUAAGUCAGACGUGAAAUCCCUCGGCUUAACCGGGGAACUGCGUCUGAUACUGGAUGGCUUGAGUUCGGGAGAGGGAUGCGGAAUUCCAGGUGUAGCGGUGAAAUGCGUAGAUAUCAGGAGGAACACCUGCGGUGUAGACGGCUAUCUGGACGGCCACUGACGCUGAGACACGAAAGCGUGGGUAGCAAACAGG